Molecule: RNA transcript, 11539 nt
Organism: Zingiber officinale
Lineage: Eukaryota; Viridiplantae; Streptophyta; Magnoliopsida; Zingiberales; Zingiberaceae
Exons: 18
Source: RefSeq, a predicted model, not a curated record
AAUUUUAAUCCGACGAACGAUGAUGCCGCGGCCUUAUCCUCCAUCAGUCUCUUCUGCCCGUUUUAUCAUUAUGGCUCCGACACUCCUUCCGCCUACUCCUUUCGCCGCCCAUCUCUCUACUCGAACCCUUCAGCCGCACGCUGCUACCUCCUCCCUUCACCGUCAUCGGUGCUCUAGUCUCUUCCACCUCCAUUCCUCCUCGGACGCAUCCACUCCAUCAGCAGCCUCCACUGCCCUCCAAUGCCCAUAUUUCCAGUCGUAUGUACCCAGUAGCUUGGCAUGUGGUCGGAGUUCUAGAUGCAGUCUUCUUAUUCGAACAACUGAUUGGUACAAACACACUCGUGGAGCCUCUAUGGACCAUAGUGUUCUCUGUUCAGCUUCAAAAAAACGUGGUUUUGGGCAGUAUGUUACGAAGAAAGAAAAGAAUCCCAAGGAAAGCAAUCAAUCUACAUCUGAGGCAAGAAACUUUGUGUCUCAAGAGCCCAACACAAGAAAUCAGCAGGCACCACAAUUAGCUAGUGGAAGUAGUCGAAAUUUGAACAAUGCAUCGUUUGAUCAAAUUUUUUUGGAGAAGGUGGAAGUAGUGAGAAGGUCUGCAAUGGAGCAGAAAAAAGCUGAGGAGGACAAAAUCUCUCAGGCAAUAGACUAUGAUGGACCUGUUGUGUCGGAAGAGAAUACAAUUGGAUUUGGUACCAAGGUUGGUGUUGGAGUAGCUGUCACUGUUUUCGGUCUGGUUUUUGCAUUUGGGGACUUCCUUCCAUAUGGAAGUGUUAGCCUGAAUGAAGAUGCUGCUACAGUUCAGAAAAAACUUGCAGAAGAGGAGAAGUCAAUUCUUAAGACCAAGCUUGAGGAAUACAAGGAAACACUAAGCAAUUCACCUGAAGAUCUUUCAGCACUCAAAGGAGCUAUAUUUACUAUGAAAGAUUUAGGAGAGUACCAACAAGCAUCUUCUCUUCUUGAGAAAAUGACCAAGGAAAGGCCCAACAAUGCUGAUGCAUUUCGUUUACUGGGAGAUAUUAAGUUUGAGCUUAAGGAUUAUGAUGGAAGUGUUUCUGCUUACCAGAAUUCUUUAUCAGCCUCUGGUAUUGUUGACUUUGAAGUACUUCGUGGGCUCACAAACUCAUUUCUGGCUGCUGGAAAGUCUGAUCAAGCAGUUCAAACCCUUUUGAGCUAUCAAGACAUAUUGAGUGAGAGCGAUUUGGUAGGUCUUGGCACAGAUGUGGAUAACAAGGUUAAAAUGGACAAACAAAGAUUCAAUGUUGAUCCAAUUGAAGUUGACUUGCUUUUGGGAAAAUCUUACUCUGAUUGGGGCCAUGUGAGCGAUGCUGUGGCUGUUUAUGAUCAGCUAAUUUCCAAGCAUCCUGAUGACUUCCGUGGCUAUUUGGCAAAGGAUUUAGAAGAAAAAUAAAAUUCCACUUCAUGUGGACAGUUAUUAGGGUUUCUUAUCGUAGGUGAAGGAACAGAUGACGUUGGAGGCUUGGACCCUUGACUAGACUGGGUUGGACAGUACACUCCCAAGGACCUUCCGAUUCCGCAUAAAGAAUAAAUAAAAAACAUUUAUGAUUUAGAGAGAAUAAAGUAGUAGUCAAUUUAGAUCCGCAGGAUGCUUGACUGGUUUAUUAAUUACAAACAGUUUUCUUAUUUAUUAGAAUGUUAUAUGGUGCAUGGAAUGUAAAAAAAAACAAAAAACAAAAAAAAAAAAACUUAGGAUCGUUUUACCUCCCAAGUACGGUCAUGCCAAUUUUGGAGAAGGACAGUGAAGGCAACCAUGGCAUUGUCGUAUCUUUUGACAUGGUCAUGCCAACUUUAGAGGACUCCACAGAAGAUUUCAUGAAAGACACACUAGACUUCACAAAAAGAAUCACGUCAUAGCCGUGUCUUUUCACAUAGCCGUGUCUUUUUAUGGAGGACUUCACAAAAGGUUUCAUGGAGUGGCCGUGUAUUUUGACACGACCAUGUCUUUUCACAGAGUCCAUAGAAAGAAUCAUGGCAUGGCCAUGUCUUUUCACACGACCAUGUGGUGUGAAACAAGUUCCGGCCAUGUCUCGCGGCACAACUGUGUUCGUCGGGCAAAAUCAAGCCCAAUGCAAUGCUAAAACUCCAACUGCUUCCAACACAGCUUGGCCAUGCUAAAAGGCACGACCGUGUCAUUUCUGAUAUGGCCCGGUCGUGCCUCCCAGGCACAGUUGUGUUGAAUCCCAAACUAUAUUGUGGACCAUUUUUAAAAGUGGCGUAACUUUCUACACGGUUGGAGCCACGGGUUGUGCCAUAUAUCAAAAUAUAGAUAACUUCUGGAUCUACAACUUUGCUUUAGAGUGCAACUUGAGAAAACCAGUCGUGCUAAAAGGCACAACCGUGCCUCUUAGGCAUGGCCAUAUCGUGUUGUCUGUCUAGACUGCAGACCCAAAAUAAAAAGGUCGUAACUUUCCGCACGGUCUAUAUAUCAAAAUAUAGGUAACUUCAAGAUCUACAACUUUGCUUUAGAGUGCAACCCGAGAAAAUCGGGUCUAGCCGUGUCGCGUCAUUCAUCCAAAUUACAGACUAAACUUUGAACCACCAUAACUUUCGGCUCAGUUAGAGCCACGAGCUCUGCCACCUAUCAAAAUGUAGAUAAUUUCAAGAGGUGCAACUUUUGUUCAGAGUUCAACCUGAGAAAACUAGGUAUAAGGGGUGAAAAUUCCAUUUUGUUAGAGCCCUAUAAAGGAGGCAGAUUUGGAAAGUUUAUGGAAGGUUUAAAAGGGUCAAGAAAGCCCUUCUUUGGGUUAUCUUGGACCUGGGGACUCCGUCCCCCUCUUUGGGAGAGCUCUUCCCCUCUAGGGAAAACCCUAGAGCAACUAUCUUAAUCCAUCUUGACAAUUCGUCCAUCUCCGGAGCAAGGAUUUCAUCCAAGAAGACCGACAACGCAUUGAUAAGCAUUUCUCCUCUCUCUAUCUUGUGUUUUGGAUUGUAGAAUGAUAUUCUUCUUAUCUCUUGGUUGUAUUUCCUUUGCCAUGGAGUAGAUCCUCCGAAUUUUAGGAUGUAGGGAGUAAUUAUGAUGUGAUGUUGACGUGUGAACUAUAUAUUUGAUUAUUUCCUUGUUCUAUGAUAUGCUUAUGACUUGUUCUAUUGUGAGCCUUGUUUGUAUUUGAUGAAAUGUGUAUGUGAUGAAUGCAAAUGGAUGUGAGACCUUAGUGAAGGAGGGUAUCAUUUUAACCGAACUUUCUAGAGUUUCACCUUGAAAUAGGGACCAAUUCUCUAUAAAGGAUUAACUAAUUAGAGUUUAAUGGAUUUUCACCAAUUCAAUGUUAAGAAGUGACAUGUAUAAUCUAGACUGUAUGACCAUGGGACCUCAUAUGAUAGGGGGUAUUCUUUGAACCGGACUUUCUAUGUUAUAUCUUCUACUUUGUGGAAUUGAAGCUCAAUGGUGUAAACACUCCGGUGUAAUCUUCGUGGGGUUAUGCCGGUAUUUAGUCAGAAUCCCUACAAGAGUGUAAGCAUAGUGUUAAGGAGAUGAAUAAUACAUAGGGACAUUAACUAGCAUCAAAGUGAAACCAAAAUCCUAGAAUCAUCCUCCAAAUCCAACUUCACCCUUCGAUUACUUGCCUUCCCUUCUCUGCUCUAAGCCCUUUCUCGACCUCUCUCUUGCUCUCUCUCUCUUUCUCGCGCUCUCUGUCUCUUUCUCUCUCUCUUAAUCUCUAGUUCUUAAGCUUUCACACAACUUUCGAUUGUCUAGAUAACUUGCUUUGCAAACUCGACUAGUGCUUAAUCAACAGUCUUGUGGAUCGAUAUUUUUAUUACGUGACGACUUAACUGUGCACUUGUGGUGAGACAAUAGGGAAUCAAUUCUAUUAAAGUGCAUAUAAUUCUUAGGGUAUUUUCCUAUGCACUCCCCUUUACUCCUCAAGUUGAUAUAUUUGCAAUCUAUUUACAAUUUAGUGCUCAAUUCUUCCCUCAAGCUGAUUUAUAAAUAUUAUAAAAAAUUAAUUUGUUUCAAAUAUACUAAAGUUUAAAACCUCUCAAAGAAAGUGAGCAAAUCUACUAGUUGAUCUAUGUAACUAAAGAGGUGAGAAUCUUCUUUAUGACGAAAUGUCAAUCAAUCUCAAUAUGUUUUCUCCUCGUAUGAAAGAGAAAAUUAAACUGAUGUGCAUAACAACUUGAUUAUCAUGUUAUGCCUUAAUUGACUAGCUCAGAAAAUUAGCUACCUAGUGACUAAAUAGUUGAGCCAUACCUUGUUUGAGCCAGAUGAUCCUAGACUCAUAAUGUUUUGCCUUUGCACUUGACCUAGCUGCAAUAGUUGGCUUCUUGCUCUUCUAAUGCAUUAGCCUAUCUCUUGGAAAAGCACAAUAGCUUGAUGCAGACCUCCUGCUUUUCCCAAUCUUCAUCUAUACUCCCCAUAAACAUCAAAAUUAGCCUAAAACAAAAUAAUUCAGCCUUAAAUAAAUUUGAUUUAACUUUAAAUUCAUCCAUCAAGCCUAAAGAACCAUAAAACAAAUAAUUGUUGCCAAUUACCCCUUAAUUUUGGGUAUAAUAUAUAAUCGACUAUGGAUUUACUAUAAGGAUGAGGUUUUUGGAACUAUGGUUUGAUUAGGAGGUGAAUGGAUAAUCUUUUCUUGUCAUUCUUGCUAAUCCAACACCUUUAAAUGAAACAAUGGGGUAAACUCUACGAGUGAGUACUAUACGACUUUAGAAUUCACAGCUACAAGCUUGGAGCACUUAGUGAAGCCCUUAACAUUACCCUUUUUAAUCUAGAAUCUUCCCUAAAUCAAGAAAACCCUUGGGAUAUAUGUUGUCUACCCAAACAAUCCAUUGAGACCUUGCUCACUUUCUGCAACUUACCUCUAUUGUCCUAGGCAAGCUUUGGUCGUCGCUAGAGACCUUCUAGUGAAUGAUUACAAUCCUAAAUAAUCCAAAAGCUUCUAGAUAUCCUCUAAUAGUAAACAAACUCUAAAUACCUUCAAACUUAUCCCAAAAAAGAUAAAGAUCUAAACUUGGUGAGUUAAAGAGUGUUACUGAAAAGAGCUUUAAAUCCACAUAUAAAGCCUUGCUUUUGCUUCCAAAGCCUCUUGGUAUUCCAUUGUGCACUUAGAGUAUGAUGAAGAUUAGAAAUGUUUUUUUGUAAGUAUUGGUGCAAAAAUAUUGACCAAACAACCUUUAUAAAGCUACAACAGUCACUUCUAGGUGAUUUGGUCUACCAAAAACUAAGGUUGGUCAAGCAACCUUCGAUUUCUCACCAUUAUAAACUUGGAACAUGAAGCUGAAAUUUGGUUCAGUCAGCUUGACCAUUUGUUAAUAGUCGAUUGGUGCUGUUUGGCCAACUAAACUCUAAUGUUUAGUCAACCCAGGUCGUGUUCAAGGGUGAAUUAAGGUUUACAUUGGAUUAACCCUUCAAAUGUUAAGGCCAGACCUCAAAACAACACCCUCCCAUCAAAUACCCCUAGAGUUUUGGAUGAAAUUUCGUAGAUAAUAAAGUCCUACUUAAAGGCUAAAUCAUAUCAAUAUAAUCAAUCCACCCCAAUAUACAACAUCGAUCAAUAUACAUAGGUCUUAAUCUCCAAAUCACAUGAUAUCCUUCACACUUUAAGUGUAACUCAUCAAAUACACACCUAACUUAAAUCAAAUUACCAAACCAUCAAAAGACCUUAUUCCAACCUAACCACAUUGGAGGAACCAUUGUCCCAAAAUGAGAACUUAGCUCUCGAGUGUCAUUAAAAUGUCUGACUAUCAUAUCAACUACAACCUAUACCAUCUUGUUCAAGCACAACCUCUUAAACAACCUAGGAAAUGGAAUGCAAAGCUAAUGACAAUACAAUGGCAAACUAGCUAUGCCAAGAAUGUGAAGUAAUAAUGCAUUUGCAAAUUUCUGUUGAAAAGUGACAAGGAAAUUUAAAUUAAAAGCUGGAUUUGGGACUAGUGAUGGUUGUGACAGAAUAGUAAAAUUUUGAGUAUGAUAUAGGCUCAACCCUAGACUUACACCUAGACUUGCAGUUAUAUAUCUCCAGCCUGGUUAGCAAGAUCGGCCAAUUCAUAUCUGAGUCAACCACUUUGGAUUAAAAUUGAGAGAUUGGAUACCUAUAAAUAUCACUUCGAAGUAUGUCAAAAAUGUAAUCACAUGAAAUCCUUUCAAAAUCAAUUUAAAAUCAGACACCAUUUUAAGAAACUUGGAUGAAUUUGUUGAUUGAUCUCAAAGCCAACAAUUUUGGUGACUGCUUAGCCAUAAUAUAUGAUGUGGGUGGCAUGCAAGGACUUGAAACUGGACCUUGAGGCUUGGCAAUGGCUAGUAAAGGAGAGAGAUGCUCAUCCAUAAAUUACCACAAAGUUCCACGCUCUAUGAAGACUAGGGAGUAGCAAUGGAAAUGAAAAUGGUGGGAAAAACAUGGGACGAGGAUAGAGAAUGCCAAAAACCUUUUAUAUGAUAAAUAUAAUUUAUAAGUAAAAAAAAUAUUAACUUACAUAAAAUUUAUCAAGAGAAACCAUAAUGCUAUAAGUAAUAAAUCAGUAUAAAGUGAUAAGAAUAUGAAUGACAUAUUUUAUUGAAAUAGCUUAAUUAAUUUGGUAUUAUCUAGUAUAAAUAUGAUAUUGACAAUACUCUAGUGUUAUUUAUCACUAUGUUAAUUAUCUAAAAUUAUUUUAAUAAUAAAAAUAUUUAUUUAUUAAUCAUUAAAUAUUAUUUACUAAUAAUCAUGGAUUAAUUAUUUAACAAUAUAAUAUUUAAUUUAAUAAUAUAAUAAUAAUUUUUAUCAUAUAAUUUUGUACAUAAAGGGGAGUUUUGGCGCAACGAUAAAGUUAUUGUUUUGUGACCAAAAGGUCACGAGUUCGAAUAUGGAAAACAACCUCUUGCCAAAAACAGGUAAGGUUGCGUACAAUGAAUCUUUCCUCGGGAUCCCGCAUGGUGGGAGCUUCGUGCUCCGAGCUACCUUUUUUAUAUAUAUAAUUUUGUGUAUAUACUAAUUAUAUAGAAAAGACAUAAUUUAAAAUUGAAGCAUAUACUAAUUAUAUAGAAAAGACAUAAUUUAAAAUUGAAUUAAAUAAUCAUGUAAUAAUUAUUAGAAAUAUAAAUUUAUUUACAUUCUUUCGUCCUUCUAGAAUGAUGACUCUUAAGAGAUGGUGGCUGCAAACAAACUGUUAAUCAACCUCCUCGAGUCCAAAACUUGAAGUUUACACACAUUUUGAAGAAAUGUAGUGGCAUAAUUGAGGUCAUGGCUAAUUGGUCUAUUGACAAGAGAUUGUAGUCCAAGAUAAGAACAAACACUACUAAAUCUAAAUCAAAAGAACUAUGUUUUCAAAAAUAACCAUUGAUCUUAAGAGAAGAAAAGUUCCAUCAGCGAUUCAAACUAUAACAUCAUCAAGAAAUAGGGUGUACCAAAAAAACUCCGCCCAUGAUGAAUAAACUCUAUCAUGGCAAGCCCUAAUUCUAGAUAAAGGAAGAGGUUUAUAUUAGGUUGGCAGCCAACGUCAAACAUAGAAAAAUGUUAUAUAUAAAUACAUCAAACCAUUGUGCUAAUCUUAGGUUGUUCCUUAAAAGGAACGCGUUGCAGAGUCUAGCAGUAACAUCUAGGCAAGGACUAUUACAUAUCUAUGAGAACUUAGAUGUAGUGUUAAAUAUAUAAGAGUUUAUUACACUUUAGGUUGAAUAAGAAUAGAUAUUAUAGUAAUACUGAUUGUCUCAUAUUUGGAAUAUGAAAUGUAGAAACACUCAUUAACAAAAGAUGAUAGAGAACUUAAGUUAUGCUACACAAAGAGUAAAAUGAGAAAUGGAAUAGGUAUUGUUAUGGAUAGUUUAUUAAGAGACGUAAUAGUAGUAGUUAGGAAAAAGAUAGGAUUAUAACUCUCAAGAUAAUGGUGAUAAAAGAAACUAUUAAUGUAAUUAACAUAUAUGCAGCUCAAGUAGGAUUAGAUGAAUACUCGAAAUAUAGAUUUUGGGAAGACGUAGGUUAUGUACUAUAAAUUUUUUUGUCAAACGAGAUAAUUUUAAUAAGAGAUCUAAAUUGACAUUAGGAGGAAGAAAUGAAGAAUAUGAUAAAGUGCAUGGGGUUAUAGUUUUGAAACAAGAAUGAAGAAGGAAAAAUUAUAUUAGAUUUUGCAGUAACAUAUGAACUUAUAAUAGUUAACACGCUUUUCAAGAACAUUGUCUGAUUAGUGGAGGGUAAGUACUCUAGUUCCUCUGUAUAACAAAAGGAGACAUUCAAAAUUCUGUGAAUUAGAGGGGCAUUAAGCUAAUGAACCAUACUAUGAAAUUUUAGGAAGAGUGAUCGAAAAAAGAUUAGGAGACCAAUGUGAUUGAAAAUUAAUUUCAAUUCAUGCUUGGAAGGUCGAUGAUAAAAGUUAUACAUCUUAGAUAACUGAUUGAAAAGUAUUGGAAAAAAAAGACUUACACAUGGUAUGACCUAGAAAAGCGUAUAAUAGAAUCUCGAGGGAAAUUAUGUAGAGAAUUCUAGAGAAGAAAGGUGUCCCUAUAGCAUAUAUUGAAACAAUUAAGGAUUUGUAUGUGGCUAUAUUGACAAGAGUGAAGACUACAGGUGGAUUAGCUGAAGCAUUUUCUAAAAAUAUAGGGUUGUAUCCUAGAACUGUAAGUCCAUAUCUUUUUACACUAGUCAUGGAUGAACUCGCUGGACACAUCUAAGAAACAUUACAUUGGUAUUUGUAGACGACAUCAAAUCUUAGUGAGAAAUGGUAGAUGUAAAAGGUUUUUGUCUUAGUAGAAUAAAGACAGAAUAUAUAGAAUUUAAGUGUAGUAGUAUUGGAUGUAGCAAGAUAAUUGUUAAGACAAAAGAUGAUGAGUUAUAUAUAACUAAGAGCUUUAAGUAUCUAAGAUUGUUUCUACAAAAGGAUGGAUGAUUGAUAGAGAUGCUUUACAUAGCAUACAAGUAGGAUGGUUGAAGUGAAAAAGGGUGUCAGAUAUUCUUUGUGAUCAUAAGAUAUCUUUAAAGAUUAAAGGGAAAUUUUACAAAAUUGUGGUUAAAGUUUUAUAAAAUUAUGGUUAGACCUAUUAUAUUAUAUGAAGUGAAAUGUUGGGUUAUGAAGCGAACACAUGAGUAGAAAAUAAGAGUCACAAAGAUGAGAAUGUUAAAAUAGAUGUGCAUACAUAUGAGGAUGGAUAAAUAAGAAAUAAAAAUAUUAGAAAAAAAGUUAGGCAUGCGCUUACUAAGGAAAAAUUUCGAGAGACAUUUAAGAUAAUAUGAAUAUGUACUUAGGUAAUCAAUAAAUGUCUCAGUUAGGCAAUGAGAAACUAUAACAAAUAUGCACAUUAAGUGAAGAAGAGGGAAACCAAAGAAGACAUGAUUAACAACGAUAAAAUAAGAUAAAAUUCAUUUAAAUAUAGAUGAGAAUAUAGCUGAGGAUCGAGCCCAAUGUAUCCAUAUAACUGACUCUACUAAGUGAGAUAAAGGCUUAAUAGUUAUUGCUUUUGUUGGGGGUGUAUCAAGCAAUUUAAUAUCUUUUGAUGCCCCACAAUGCAUAACUUAAAACUUUUGGUUUUUCACAAAUUAUAGCAUUGUCAAAAAUAGGGUGUAUCAAGCAAUUUGAUAUCUUCAGAUGCCCCCGGAGUUCAUAACUCAAUUUUUUAUUUUUCACAAACUAAAGCAUGAUUUAAAAAUGGUUGCAUCAAGCAAUUUGAUAUCUUUGGAUGCCUUACGCAUUGUUUGGGAAGAGGUGAGGGAAGUGGAGGGAAGGGUAAAGAAGGGGAAGUAAAACUUGAAACCCUGUUUGAGAGGAAGUGAACUACGGAAAGGAAAGGUAAGGAAGGGUAAGCUUUAACCUUCCUUACCCAUGAAACGAAAGAAUUUCUUACACCCCGAUUUGGGGUGUAAGGAAGGGUAAGGGGAAUUUAAAAAACUUAUGUUCCAGUUUUAUCCCUGUUUUAUUAUAUUAAUUCUAAAAAUCAUUGUUUUAGGUAUCCUUUACGUCACAAUGAAAAACACUCGCAUCGCCCGACUCGCACCGCCCAACUCGCACCGCCCAACGCUUGCACUCCGUCGAUGCCGACACCGACUUUGACGCCAACUUCGAUGCUGGCACUGAUGUCGACAUCGACUUUAACAAAUGAGCUACAAUUGCUUGAAUACGUAAGUCUUAACUAAUAAAUGUAUGUAAGAUGCACUGGAUUUUUGAACGCGUAUGUCUUUAAUAAAAGUGGGGGUAAUUUUGUAACUUUAUAUAUUUAACCUUCAUUACCCUCAUUUUCCUCCCAAACAUGGUAACACAUGUUAUGUUAAUGAACCUUCCCUCCCUCCCAAACAAGGAGAAUAAAAAUACUUUACUUCCCUUCUCUUUCCCUCCAUUCCCCUCCCUGCCCCUUCCGUUAAUGAACCUUCGCUCACUCUUAGAGUACAUAACUCAAAACUUUUGGUUUUUCACCUUGCACUAACCGCCUUAGAAAACUAACUCUUCGUGCUACAGUGUCAGUACCUCUUAGGUUGAUUGUACUCUUCCCAGACUCUUGGGGCUUUUUCUGCAGCAACUCCAUUUGUUCCUUGUUGAAUGGAUUUGGCACAGAGGAUGUUUGAUUCUAUGUUGUGUUGUGAUUUCCUCUGCUGUCUCUAUCUUGCAAGGGACAUGAUGGUUUCCAGUCUAUUGGUUUGCCAUGAACCAUCUAACAGGCCUCCUUUAUGUGCUGAGGUAUACAGCAACGCUCACAGAAUCUAUGAUUGCUUUGUUGCUGAUUCUGCUGGAUUGUGGUCCAUGGGCUGCAAGAGCUGAGCUCUAAGUAUCAGUAUUGUGAGAAUUAUUCCUUACACUUUACUUUCCUACUUUUCUCCUUUCUUUGAACCUCUGCAAUGCAUUCUAAACAAUUGGAAGGAUUUAAUGCUCAAAAUUCCCCUCAAACCUCAUUUGUGUCCUUAUUUAAGCCAAGGAUAAAUUUAUAGAUGCUCUUUUGAUGAAUCUGUUGAUAUUGUCUGCUAUUAAUUGGGCAGUUCUACUUUGUUUCGAGAAUGUCCAGAUGCUGCCAGUCGCAAGCCAGCAUAUUGAAAUAGUCUGUUGUUGACAUCUCUUGUUGUCUAAUAUCACAGUAAUUCUUUUGAUCUUGAAAAUAGCUGAUGUUUCUUUGUUAGAAUGCCUCAGACAGCAUCCCAGAUUCCUUGGCUGUCUUGUAGUGCAUGCUCUCUCCAAUUACGUUUGUCAUGGAAUUUGACAAUCAGGACAUCAGCAUAAUGUUCUCCAAUUUCCAGAUUCUUUAACUGACUACCUUCUUCAGAUGCUCCUCCAUCGAGGGAAUCAUAUUGAAGCAAACUGGUAAUAUUGGAGAUGCAGAAAGAAUGUUCAUACAAGCAAGGUUCUUUGCGCCUGCAAAUGUUAAACCUAUUGUGGAUCGUUACUUGGCAAAGUGAGUUGCCAAUUUGGUGGAAGGUUAGCUUGACUAAUUUUUGUUGCUACUGGGGCGAACCUUUGCUAAUUGGAGAUGCCUGUCCUCUUCCUUGAUCUUAUGCUGCAAAUCUCUCCUUGUAAUGGUGUAAAUUAUGUACCUUUUGAGUGCUCAGUUUGUUGAUCUUAAGCUAUGUAAAUUGUGAUCUACCUUGAUGUAUUUAGUCUAUAGUACAUUUUCUCUAUGGAAUUUUUUUAGUUU